Long non-coding RNA from Candoia aspera, 340 nucleotides. RefSeq lists it as uncharacterized. The transcript has 4 exons. Lineage: Eukaryota; Metazoa; Chordata; Lepidosauria; Squamata; Candoiidae. The record is from RefSeq and is a predicted model, not a curated record.
UCCCUUCUGCUUCAUCCCAUGCCCAUCUCUGUGUCCAAAAAUAAACUGGCUGACAGUUUACAGGAGAAAGUUGUCAUGAAGCCAAGGCAGGAAUUUUCUGGGAGGACCAUGCUUGGCACAGCUGGUCUCCUAACAGAUGUCAGAGCAUAGGUUCAAUCUACCUCCCUGAAGAAGCUUCCAGUUCUGGCUCCAAACCUAUCUGUCUUCUAAAUGGCUUUGAAAGAACCCUGGGAAGCAUAUAAGAACAUACAGCCCUUCAGAUGUUGCUGAACUCCCACCUAUCUCAUGAGCCGGAGUAUGGAACACUAGUUGUUGUCUUGGGAAUCACAGCACGUUGUCU